RNAcentral lists this ribosomal RNA (764 nucleotides) under uncultured bacterium. RNAcentral describes it as "bacterial SSU rRNA". It matches the Rfam family "Bacterial small subunit ribosomal RNA", at positions 8 to 760 of the family's 1533-position model. The record is from RNAcentral.
AGAGUUUGAUCAUGGCUCAGAUUGAACGCUGGCGGCAUGCCUUACACAUGCAAGUCGAACGGCAGCAUGAUCUAGCUUGCUAGAUUGAUGGCGAGUGGCGAACGGGUGAGUAAUACAUCGGAACGUGCCCUGUAGUGGGGGAUAACUAGUCGAAAGAUUAGCUAAUACCGCAUACGACCUGAGGGUGAAAGUGGGGGACCGCAAGGCCUCAUGCUAUAGGAGCGGCCGAUGUCUGAUUAGCUAGUUGGUGAGGUAAAGGCUCACCAAGGCGACGAUCAGUAGCUGGUCUGAGAGGACGAUCAGCCACACUGGGACUGAGACACGGCCCAGACUCCUACGGGAGGCAGCAGUGGGGAAUUUUGGACAAUGGGCGAAAGCCUGAUCCAGCAAUGGCCGCGUGUGUGAAGAAGGCCUUCGGGUUGUAAAGCACUUUUGUCCGGAAAGAAAUGGCUCUGGUUAAUACCUGGGGUCGAUGACGGUACCGGAAGAAUAAGGACCGGCUAACUACGUGCCAGCAGCCGCGGUAAUACGUAGGGUCCAAGCGUUAAUCGGAAUUACUGGGCGUAAAGCGUGCGCAGGCGGUUGUGCAAGACCGAUGUGAAAUCCCCGAGCUUGACUUGGGAAUUGCAUUGGUGACUGCACGGCUAGAGUGUGUCAGAGGGGGGUAGAAUUCCACGUGUAGCAGUGAAAUGCGUAGAGAUGUGGAGGAAUACCGAUGGCGAAGGCAGCCCCCUGGGAUAACACUGACGCUCAUGCACGAAAGC